AUUUAUUGCCAUUACUGCCAGUGUCAAAUUUAUAAAAAUAUUCAGUUAAUGUAAAUUGAUAUUUUACAAAAAUGAUAUGAAGCAAAAUCAGAUAAUUUGAGACUUUAAUCAAUUGGAAUGAAAUUAAAUGAAACUAGAUGAGAUAAGAUGAAAUUUUGUACUCAUUUGUUGUUUUUGCGCUAAAAUUUUUUCUCUACGCUCUUGGCAGAGGCGUCGUCAAGCAACCUUAGAAUAACAACUCACAAUGAACUUGCUUAAAUACAUACUAUAGAAAAAAAUGUGUGCGUGUACUAGUGUACACACGUAAGAAGUGAAACUUAUUUAUGGCCUUAUUUUUCGAAAAAUGAUCUACAUGCAACUUUCUAGAAAUUGGUUAAAUAAAGUUAAAUUAGAUAAAGUUUAAACAAAA
This is a long non-coding RNA of Bombyx mori (domestic silkworm), 409 nucleotides long. RefSeq lists it as uncharacterized. The transcript is spliced from 2 exons. Lineage: Eukaryota; Metazoa; Arthropoda; Insecta; Lepidoptera; Bombycidae. The record is from RefSeq and is a predicted model, not a curated record.